Molecule: ribosomal RNA, 632 nt
Filed under: Rotylenchulus reniformis
Lineage: Eukaryota; Metazoa; Nematoda; Chromadorea; Rhabditida; Hoplolaimidae
Description: SSU rRNA
Rfam family: Eukaryotic small subunit ribosomal RNA
Source: RNAcentral
GGCGAUCAGAUACCGCCCUAGUUCUGACCGUAAACGAUGCCAACUAGCGAUCCGCCAGUCGACUCAUCGCUCUGGUGGGGAGCUUCCCGGAAACGAAAGUCUUCCGGUUCCGGGGGAAGUAUGGUUGCAAAGCUGAAACUUAAAGGAAUUGACGGAAGGGCACCACCAGGAGUGGAGCCUGCGGCUUAAUUUGACUCAACACGGGGAAACUCACCCGGCCCGGACACCGUAAGGAUUGACAGAUUGAUAGCUUUUUCAUGAUUCGGUGGAUGGUGGUGCAUGGCCGUUCUUAGUUCGUGGAGCGAUUUGUCUGGUUUAUUCCGAUAACGAGCGAGACUCUGGCCUACUAAAUAGUUGACGCAUUGCCACUGUGCGCACAACUUCUUAGAGGGAUUUUCGGUGUUUUCAACCGCACGAAAUUGAGCAAUAACAGGUCUGUGAUGCCCUUAGAUGUCCGGGGCUGCACGCGCGCUACACUGGCAAAAUCAGCGUGCUUGUCCUCCCCCGAAAGGGGUUGGUAAACCGAUGAAAAUUUGCCGUGAUUGGGAUCGGACAUUGCAAUUAUUGUCCGUGAACGAGGAAUCCCUUGUAAGGGCGAGUCAUCAACUCGUCCUGAAUACGUCCCUGCCCUA